AGUAAUCCGGUGGGAAGCAGGGGGGCUCCUCCCCCCAAGCCUAAAUACUACUUAAUGACCGAUAGCGUAUAGUACCGUGAGGGAAAGGUGAAAAGAACCCCGGGAGGGGAGUGAAAGAGAACCUGAAACCCUAUGUUUACAAGCAGAGGGAGCGAAAGCGACCUCGUACUUUUUGUAGAACGGGCCGGCGAGUUACUGUGUGCAGCGAGGUUAAGGCGUAGAGCGCCGGAGCCGAAGCGAGAGCGAGUCUGAAGAGGGCGAAAGUUGUGCGCAGUAGACCCGAAACCGGGUGACCUAUCCAUGGACAGGAUGAAGCGGCGGUAAGACGCCGUGGAGGUCCGAACCACACGUAUGUUGAAAAAUGCGGGGAUGAGCUGUGGAUAGCGGAGAAAUUCCAAUCGAACUCGGAGAUAGCUGGUUCUCCCCGAAAUAGCUUUAGGGCUAGCCUCGUUUUAAAUUACCGGGGGUAGAGCACUGAAUGGGCUAGGGGGCCACAAAGCUUACCGAACCCUAUCAAACUUCGAAUACCGGAUAAUUGAUGAACGGGAGUCAGACGGCGGGAGAUAAGUUUCGUCGUCAAAAGGGAAACAGCCCAGAUCUACGACUAAGGUCCCGAAAUCACAGUUAAGUGGAAAAGGAUGUGCAGUUGCACAGACAACCAGGAUGUUGGCUUAGAAGCAGCCACUCAUUUAAAGAGUGCGUAAUAGCUCACUGGUCGAGUGAUUGUGCGCCGAAAAUGUACCGGGGCUAAACUGUGUACCGAAGUCUAGGGAUCGUGAUAAACGAUCGGUAGGGGAGCAACGUGUGCGGGCUGAAGCCGAAGCGGAAGCGACGGUGGACUGCACGGGAGAGAGAAUGCCGGCAUGAGUAGCGAGAGCAAAGUGAGAAUCUUUGCCGUCGAAAGCCUAAGGUUUCCUGAGGAAGGCUCGUCCUCUCAGGGUAAGUCAGGACCUAAGCCGAGGACAAAAGUCGUAGGCGAUGGACAACUGGUUGAUAUUCCAGUACCACCUUUAGCGUUUGACUGAAGCAGUGACACAGAAGGAUAGACAGAGCGCGUGACUGGUAGAGCGCGUCCAAGCGAUGAGGGAGUUAAGUAGUGAAGCACGCUUAACAAUUCUGGGUCGUGAUGGGGACUGAAAAUAAGUAGGGAAGCUGUUGAAUUCACGCUGGCGAGAAAAGCUGCUAAGGAGCGAAAGGGUGCCUGUACCGCAAACCGACACAGGUAGGCGAGGAGAGAAUCCUAAGACGAGCGGGAGAACCCAUGUUAAGGAACUCGGCAAAAUGACCCUGUAACUUCGGGAUAAAGGGAGCCACGAGAGUGGCCGCAGAGAAUAGGCCCAAGCGACUGUUUACCAAAAACACAGGUCUGUGCGAAGUAGAGAUACGACGUAUACGGGCUGACGCCUGCCCAGUGCCGGAAGGUUAAGGGGAAGUGUUAGGGCAACCGAAGCACGGAACUUAAGCCCCGGUGAACGGCGGCCGUAACUAUAACGGUCCUAAGGUAGCGAAAUUCCUUGUCGGGUAAGUUCCGACCCGCACGAAUGGCG
RNAcentral lists this ribosomal RNA (1547 nucleotides) under human gut metagenome. Its description in RNAcentral is "bacterial LSU rRNA". It matches the Rfam family "Bacterial large subunit ribosomal RNA", at positions 427 to 2001 of the family's 2925-position model. The record is from RNAcentral.